RNAcentral lists this ribosomal RNA (384 nucleotides) under Lyctocoridae sp. SJ-2010. RNAcentral describes it as "eukaryotic LSU rRNA". It matches the Rfam family "Eukaryotic large subunit ribosomal RNA", at positions 763 to 1138 of the family's 3401-position model. The record is from RNAcentral. Lineage: Eukaryota; Metazoa; Arthropoda; Insecta; Hemiptera; Lyctocoridae.
GGGCGUCUCUUUCUCAUUACGAGUUGAGGCGCACCUAUAGCGCACACGCUGAUACCCGAAAGAUGGUGAACUAUGCCUGGCCAGGACGAAGCCAGGGGAAACCCUGGUGGAGGUCCGCAGCGAUUCUGACGUGCAAAUCGAUCGUCGGAGCUGGGUAUAGGGGCGAAAGACCAAUCGAACCAUCUAGUAGCUGGUUCCCUCUGAAGUUUCCCUCAGGAUAGCUUGCGCUCGGAGAGACGAGUCUCAUCCGGUAGAGCGAAUGAUUAGAGGCCUUGGGGUCGAAACGACCUCAACCUAUUCUCAAACUCCAAAUAGAUGAGAUCCCCGGCUUGCUUGAAAGUGAAGCCGGGAGACUCGGAUCGGAGUGCCAAGUGGGCCAAUUUU